Molecule: non-coding RNA, 432 nt
Organism: Pelobates cultripes (western spadefoot toad)
Lineage: Eukaryota; Metazoa; Chordata; Amphibia; Anura; Pelobatidae
Source: the annotation of a GenBank genome assembly
CUGCACUGUAUUCUUGGAUCAGUUAUACAGUCCGUAAGGUGUCGGGGAUUGUUAUGAGAUUAUAGCUGCUGGGGAGGCCCUGGUGACACAGUUUGUGACAUUGUGGGAAGGACACGGUGAACAGAGAAGUGAAUUUCGGGCCUGAGCUGGUAUCUUCCUGGCAGUCUCUCUCAUGUUACUAUUUACAUAUGGCCGGGACUGCUUGCUCGUAUAUCCUGCUGUCACAGAUCCAAAUAUAGCUCUAUAACUGAAUCCCUGCAGGGUCUGCAAGGAUGACGUGUGGGCCUGUAUCCAGCAGUCUGCUUGCAGGGUAAUAACGCCCAGGCCAGCAUACCUGCCACUGUGAUCCUGGCACAGUGCCAACGUGCCUUGCAUUGUAUAGGGCUGGAAGCAGAGAGGCUUGUAUGGGCUGGGGGGGCUGAGAAUCCUGAU